Molecule: transfer RNA, 74 nt
Filed under: Cordylochernes scorpioides
Lineage: Eukaryota; Metazoa; Arthropoda; Arachnida; Pseudoscorpiones; Chernetidae
Description: tRNA-Thr
Rfam family: tRNA (bases 6-67)
About the family: Transfer RNA (tRNA) molecules are approximately 80 nucleotides in length. Their secondary structure includes four short double-helical elements and three loops (D, anti-codon, and T loops).
Source: RNAcentral
GUAUUGGUAGCCUAGUGGUCAUGGCAUCUGCCCGGUAAGCGGAAGGUCGUGGGUUCGAUUCCCAUCCCUUGACA